RNAcentral lists this ribosomal RNA (450 nucleotides) under uncultured Staphylococcaceae bacterium. RNAcentral describes it as "bacterial SSU rRNA". It matches the Rfam family "Bacterial small subunit ribosomal RNA", at positions 354 to 796 of the family's 1533-position model. Lineage: Bacteria; Bacillati; Bacillota; Bacilli; Caryophanales; Staphylococcaceae. The record is from RNAcentral.
GUAGGGAAUCUUCCGCAAUGGGCGAAAGCCUGACGGAGCAACGCCGCGUGAGUGAUGAAGGUCUUCGGAUCGUAAAACUCUGUUAUUAGGGAAGAACAAAUGUGUAAGUAACUAUGCACGUCUUGACGGUACCUAAUCAGAAAGCCACGGCUAACUACGUGCCAGCAGCCGCGGUAAUACGUAGGUGGCAAGCGUUAUCCGGAAUUAUUGGGCGUAAAGCGCGCGUAGGCGGUUUUUUAAGUCUGAUGUGAAAGCCCACGGCUCAACCGUGGAGGGUCAUUGGAAACUGGAAAACUUGAGUGCAGAAGAGGAAAGUGGAAUUCCAUGUGUAGCGGUGAAAUGCGCAGAGAUAUGGAGGAACACCAGUGGCGAAGGCGACUUUCUGGUCUGUAACUGACGCUGAUGUGCGAAAGCGUGGGGAUCAAACAGGAUUAGAUACCCCAGUAGUCC